Molecule: long non-coding RNA, 704 nt
Filed under: Mus pahari (shrew mouse)
Lineage: Eukaryota; Metazoa; Chordata; Mammalia; Rodentia; Muridae
Description: lncRNA (MGP_PahariEiJ_G0004172.1)
Source: RNAcentral
AGAACUUCCGCAAACAUUUAGGGGGAUGGCAUCCACAUCUGCCAGGAGUGGGGACAAAAAGGACAUCAGGUCAUCUCAAGCUGCCGCCUCCUUAGGUGGAGGGCAGAAACUCUCAUUAUCCCGCUCUGAAGAAUUCCUGUCCCGAAUCAGCACAGAACUUACAGAUGAAGCACUGUUUAUUGCUCGCUCCCAUUUGAGUAUACUGCCCAAUAAGGAAAAGAAUACAAAAGACCAAGGGACUCAGAUAUCUAGACCUGUGUUCUUCACCAAGACCCAAGGCACUGACACCCGGUGAGUGAGGCUCUGUCCUUCUCCCAGGACAGAGGAGCCUGUGGGGAGAGAGCAAGGGUUGACAGCAUCCCAGCAGGCUCUGACAAAAAUCGAACCCGAACCAAGGCACACCUUCUGCCAUCUCCUCGUGAAAAGGGACCACUCCCCAACAGCCUGACAACGGGAGGAUGAGCGCAGUCCUCCCUAGUACCGCUCUCUCUUGGCUUCUUGCCUUCCCCCACUAUGUCCCUCAAUGAAAACCUCAAAGCCCCUCUUUUGCAGCUGGCUAAGCCUCUCAUCUUGGGAGGAACUCCUGGUCAUAAGCAAUGCCACCUUUGAAACCAAGAAAAUCUGGAACUGUUGCAGGGCCCUCCACCCUCCCUGGGCAAACGCCACUGAGAAGAAAAGGUUUCAAUAAAGAACCAGGAUGCCCG